UGCGUAGGCGGUUUGGUAAGUCUUACGUGAAAUCUACAGGCUCAACUUGUAGUCUGCAUGAGAAACUGCCGGGCUUGAGUAUGGGAGAGGUGAGUGGAAUUCCUGGUGUAGCAGUGAAAUGCGUAGAUAUCAGGAGGAACACCUGUGGCGAAAGCGGCUCACUGGACCAUAACUGACGCUGAUGCACGAAAGCUAGGGGAGCAAACAGGAUUAGAUACCCUGGUAGUCCUAGCCCUAAACGAUGACUGCUUGGUGUGACGGGUACCCAAUCCCGCCGUGCCGUAGCUAACGCGUUAAGCAGUCCGCCUGGGGAGUACGGUCGCAAGGCUGAA
RNAcentral lists this ribosomal RNA (332 nucleotides) under uncultured bacterium. Its description in RNAcentral is "bacterial SSU rRNA". It matches the Rfam family "Bacterial small subunit ribosomal RNA", at positions 568 to 898 of the family's 1533-position model. The record is from RNAcentral.